RNAcentral lists this ribosomal RNA (486 nucleotides) under uncultured bacterium. RNAcentral's name for it is "partial 16S ribosomal RNA". It matches the Rfam family "Bacterial small subunit ribosomal RNA", at positions 30 to 507 of the family's 1533-position model. The record is from RNAcentral.
AUUGAACGCUGGCGACAUGCCUUACACAUGCAAGUCGAACGGCAGCACGGGUGCUUGCACCUGGUGGCGAGUGGCGAACGGGUGAGUAAUACAUCGGAACAUGUCCUGUAGUGGGGGAUAGCCCGGCGAAAGCCGGAUUAAUACCGCAUACGAUCUACGGAUGAAAGCGGGGGACCUUCGGGCCUCGCGCUAUCGGGUUGGCCGAUGGCUGAUUAGCUAGUUGGUGGGGUAAAGGCCUACCAAGGCGACGAUCAGUAGCUGGUCUGAGAGGACGACCAGUCACACUGGGACUGAGACGCGGCCCAGACUCCUACGGGAGGCAGCAGUGGGGAAUUUUGGACAAUGGGCGAAAGCCUGAUCCAGCAAUGCCGCGUGUGUGAAGAAGGCCUUCGGGUUGUAAAGCACUUUUGUCCGGAAAGAAAUCCUUGGCCCUAAUACGGUCGGGGGAUGACGGUACCGGAAGAAUAAGCACCGGCUAACUACGUG